CCGUUGGUGAACCAGCGGAGGGAUCAUUACAGAGUUGCAAAACUCCAAACCAUUGUGAACGUUACCUAUCCCGUUGCUUCGGCGGGCGGCCCGGGCCCCGCGCCCGGCGCCCCCCGGCCCCCCGUGGGCGCCCGCCGGAGGUAAACCAAACCCUUGAAUUGCAUGGCCUCUCUGAGUCUUCUGUACUGAAUAAGUCAAAACUUUCAACAACGGAUCUCUUGGUUCUG
Molecule: unclassified non-coding RNA, 227 nt
Filed under: plant metagenome
Description: partial contains small subunit ribosomal RNA, internal transcribed spacer 1, and 5.8S ribosomal RNA
Source: RNAcentral